GACAGAGGGUGCAAACGUUGUUCGGAAUUACUGGGCGUAAAGCGCGUGUAGGCGGCCCUGCAAGUCGGAUGUGAAAUCCCACGGCUCAACCGUGGAAGUGCAUUCGAAACUGCAGGGCUAGAGUCCUGGAGAGGAAGGUGGAAUGCUUGGUGUAGAGGUGAAAUUCGUAGAUAUCAAGCGGAACACCGAUGGCGAAGGCGGCCUUCUGGACAGUGACUGACGCUGAGACGCGAAAGCGUGGGGAGCAAACAGG
Molecule: ribosomal RNA, 253 nt
Filed under: uncultured bacterium
Lineage: Bacteria
Description: partial 16S ribosomal RNA
Rfam family: Bacterial small subunit ribosomal RNA
Source: RNAcentral